This is a long non-coding RNA of Anopheles gambiae (African malaria mosquito), 485 nucleotides long. RefSeq lists it as uncharacterized. The record is from RefSeq and is a predicted model, not a curated record. Lineage: Eukaryota; Metazoa; Arthropoda; Insecta; Diptera; Culicidae. The transcript is spliced from 2 exons.
GACGUGUCGCUCGUUCCGGGCGGAUGUGUUUUGUGUGUGCUGCGCGUUUCCCGGUGUGUGCUCUCGUGUGUACGCGGUGGUUCUGUACGUUUUCUACGCCAUUUCGACGGUGUUGUUUGCAAUGGUGCACGCGGACGAGUUGCCCUAGGUUUGGGCACUGCUCGGUACAGCGAAAAGUGAGUGUUCCGGCAAGGUUAAGAGAAGGGAAAAUGAGAAAGUGAAAAAAGAGAGAGUGAAAGACAGAAAAAAAACAAAUACUACUAUCAUAAUAAUAUUCAUGGCAGAUUGUGAGUGUGGUACUGAAUAACAGGGCGAAAAAAGUUCGUGUAAAAGUGAAAGAAGAAAUAAUUUCGGAGCCGAUAAAAAAUCUGUCAGCCCGCACAGACAAGCAAGUGCAAAGCGUUUUUCGCGUUUUAUUCCCUUGCCAUCGCUUCGAAUGCAACUAGAACGUUUGAAUAAAAACGAUCAUCGUUAAGAAGAUAAAA